This 333-nucleotide ribosomal RNA is filed under the name Triticum aestivum (bread wheat). Its description in RNAcentral is "partial small subunit ribosomal RNA". Lineage: Eukaryota; Viridiplantae; Streptophyta; Magnoliopsida; Poales; Poaceae. The record is from RNAcentral.
AUGGUCCUGAGGAACAGCGACGGCAACAUUAUCUUCACUUCAUGCAGACACUUGUUUGCAUGUGAUAAUGCACUACGAGCUGAGUUGGAGGCGUGCAAAGAGGGAAUUUCUCUUGCGCUGGAAUGGAGUUCGUUGCCUUUUAUCAUUGAAACGGACAGCUCAGUGGCUGCAAGGAUGAUCAGCCAAGCUGAUGUUGAUCGAUCUAAGGAUGCUGCACUAGUCCAGGAGAUCAAAAUGCUAACCAGGGGUGAUAGGAGGGUCCAGGUGAAGGCUAUUAAACGUGAGAGGAAUCAGGUUAGUCACGAGCUUGCUCGUAUAGCUCGUACAACAUAA